This 87-nucleotide small RNA is filed under the name Metabacillus litoralis. RNAcentral describes it as "Bacillus litoralis BsrC". It matches the Rfam family "BsrC". Rfam says of the family: The 301 nucleotide sequence from Kouji Nakamura has been trimmed to a highly conserved ~85 nucleotide long core to form this family. The record is from Rfam by way of RNAcentral. Lineage: Bacteria; Bacillati; Bacillota; Bacilli; Caryophanales; Bacillaceae.
AAACCUCAAAACAACGAAAGCCCUACCUCUCUUUCGUCCUUACGGCUCCUAGUCCGCGCCAGUGUGAAUUGAUAAAUACGAAUCUGU